AGAGUUUGAUCAUGGCUCAGAGCGAACGUUAGCGGCGCGCCUAACACAUGCAAGUCGCACGAGAAAGGGAUUCGUCCCCGGUAAAGUGGCGCACGGGUGAGUAACACGUGGGCAACCUUCCUAAGAGUGGUGGAUAACCUGCCGAAAGGCGGGCUAAUACAGCAUACGACCGGUUGUCUUCGGACGAUUGGUGAAAGCAGGCCUCUGUACACAAGCUUGCGCUCUUGGAUGGGCCCGCGUCCCAUCAGCUAGUUGGUGAGGUAAUGGCUCACCAAGGCUACGACGGGUAGCUGGUCUGAGAGGAUGGCCAGCCACACUGGAACUGAGACACGGUCCAGACUCCUACGGGAGGCAGCAGUGGGGAAUCUUGCGCAAUGGACGAAAGUCUGACGCAGCGACGCCGCGUGGGCGACGAAGGCCUUCGGGUUGUAAAGCCCUGUGGGGCGGGACGAACACUCUCUAGGCGAACAGGCUAGGGAGCUGACGGUACCGCCUUAGCAAGCACCGGCUAACUCUGUGCCAGCAGCCGCGGUA
Molecule: ribosomal RNA, 534 nt
Filed under: uncultured Pseudomonadota bacterium
Lineage: Bacteria; Pseudomonadati; Pseudomonadota
Description: bacterial SSU rRNA
Rfam family: Bacterial small subunit ribosomal RNA
Source: RNAcentral